RNAcentral lists this ribosomal RNA (460 nucleotides) under uncultured bacterium. Its description in RNAcentral is "partial 16S ribosomal RNA". It matches the Rfam family "Bacterial small subunit ribosomal RNA", at positions 338 to 795 of the family's 1533-position model. The record is from RNAcentral.
CCUACGGGUGGCAGCAGUGAGGAAUAUUGGUCAAUGGGCGCGAGCCUGAACCAGCCAAGUAGCGUGAAGGAUGACUGCCCUACGGGUUGUAAACUUCUUUUAUAAAGGAAUAAAGUGAGGCACGUGUGCCUUUUUGUAUGUACUUUAUGACUAAGGAUCGGCUAACUCCGUGACAGCAGCCGCGGUAAUACGGAGGAUCCGAGCGUUAUCCGGAUUUAUUGGGUGUAAAGGGCGCGUAGAUGGGUUGUUAAGUCAGUUGUGAAAGUUUGCGGCUCAACCGUAAAAUUGCAAUUGAUACUGGCAGUCGUGAGUACAGUUGAGGUAGGCGGAAUUCGUGGUGUAGCGGUGAAAUGCUUAGAUAUCACGAAGAACUCCGAUUGCGAAGGCAGCUUACUAAACUGCCACUGACAUUGAUGCUCGAAAGUGUGGGUAGCAAACAGGAUUAGAUACCCUUGUAGUC